Molecule: non-coding RNA, 77 nt
Organism: Diabrotica virgifera virgifera (western corn rootworm)
Lineage: Eukaryota; Metazoa; Arthropoda; Insecta; Coleoptera; Chrysomelidae
Source: the annotation of a RefSeq genome assembly
GGCUCUGUAGCUCAGUGGUAAGAGCGCCUACCUUUGGAAGGUCCGAAUGGUCGUGAGUUCGAAUCUCACCAGGGUCA